This 252-nucleotide ribosomal RNA is filed under the name uncultured bacterium. Its description in RNAcentral is "partial 16S ribosomal RNA". It matches the Rfam family "Bacterial small subunit ribosomal RNA", at positions 15 to 263 of the family's 1533-position model. The record is from RNAcentral.
GAUCCUGGCUCAGGAUGAACGCUAGCGACAGGCUUAACACAUGCAAGUCGAGGGGCAGCGGGGAGUAGCAAUACUUCGCCGGCGACCGGCGCACGGGUGAGUAACACGUGUGCAACCAACCCCGUACCGGGAGAUAACCCGCGGAAACGUGGAUUAACACCCCAUAGUACUUUUAUCCUGCAUGGGAUGUGAGUUAAAUGUUCAAGGUAUCGGAUGGGCAUGCGUCCUAUUAGUUAGUUGGCGGGGUAACAG